AAUGAACGCUAGCGGUAGGCCUAACACAUGCAAGUUGAACGCAUACUUUUACAGUAUAAGUAGCAAACGGGUGAGUAACGCGUGAGAAAUCUACCUUACAAUCUGGGAUAAAAUCCCGGAUUCUUUCUAAACUAGAUGUUCCGACAAAUAGUAUAGAAUAAAAGAUUAAAUGUCGUUGUAAGAUGUGCUCGCGUAGGAUUAGGUAGUUGGUGAGGUAAAAGCUACACCAAGCCGAAGAUCCUUAGCUGGUCUGAGAGGAUGAUCAGCCACACUGGGACUGAGACACGGCCCAGACGCUUUCGAGCGGCAGCAGUGAGGAAUUUUGGAAAAGGGGCGAAAGCCUGAUCCAGCCAUAUCGCAUGAGUGAAGAAGGCUAAAUUGGUUGUAAAGCUCUGAUUUGAUUGAAGAUUAUGACAUAAGAUAAAAGAAUAGUCCCGGCUAACUUCGUG
RNAcentral lists this ribosomal RNA (449 nucleotides) under uncultured bacterium. Its description in RNAcentral is "partial 16S ribosomal RNA". It matches the Rfam family "Bacterial small subunit ribosomal RNA", at positions 29 to 507 of the family's 1533-position model. The record is from RNAcentral.